Molecule: ribosomal RNA, 201 nt
Filed under: uncultured Gardnerella sp.
Lineage: Bacteria; Bacillati; Actinomycetota; Actinomycetes; Bifidobacteriales; Bifidobacteriaceae
Description: partial 16S ribosomal RNA
Rfam family: Bacterial small subunit ribosomal RNA
Source: RNAcentral
AAACGGGUGGUAAUGCUGGAUGCUCCAACUUGACGCAUGUCUUGUUGGGGAAAAGUGUUUAGUGGCAUGGGAUGGGGUCGCGUCCUAUCAGCUUGUAGGCGGGGUAAUGGCCCACCUAGGCUUCGACGGGUAGCCGGCCUGAGAGGGCGGACGGCCACAUUGGACUGAGAUACGGCCAGACUCCUACGGGAGGCAGCAGCC